Molecule: ribosomal RNA, 460 nt
Filed under: uncultured bacterium
Lineage: Bacteria
Description: partial 16S ribosomal RNA
Rfam family: Bacterial small subunit ribosomal RNA
Source: RNAcentral
CCUACGGGUGGCAGCAGUGAGGAAUAUUGGUCAAUGGACGAGAGUCUGAACCAGCCAAGUAGCGUGAAGGAUGACUGCCCUAUGGGUUGUAAACUUCUUUUAUAUGGGAAUAAAAUGUUCCACGUGUGGGAAUUUGUAUGUACCAUAUGAUUACGGUUCGCCGAACUCCGCUCCAGCAGCCGCGGUAAUUCGGAGGAUCCGAGCGUUAUCCGGAUUUAGUUGGUUUAAAGGGAGCGUAGGUGGAGUGGUAAGACAGUUGUGAAAGUUUGCGGCUCAACCGUAAAAUUGCAGUUGUGACUGGCAGUCUUGAGUACAGGAGAGGUGGGCGGAAUUCGGGGUGUAGCGGUGAAAUGCGUAGAUAUGACGAAGAACUCCGAUGGCGAAGGCAGUUCACUGGACUGCAACUGACGCUGAGGCUCGAAAGCGUGGGUAUCAAACAGGAUUAGAUACCCCAGUAGUC